RNAcentral lists this ribosomal RNA (465 nucleotides) under Vreelandella stevensii. RNAcentral's name for it is "partial 16S ribosomal RNA". It matches the Rfam family "Bacterial small subunit ribosomal RNA", at positions 338 to 795 of the family's 1533-position model. Lineage: Bacteria; Pseudomonadati; Pseudomonadota; Gammaproteobacteria; Oceanospirillales; Halomonadaceae. The record is from RNAcentral.
CCUACGGGGGGCUGCAGUGGGGAAUAUUGGACAAUGGGCGAAAGCCUGAUCCAGCCAUGCCGCGUGUGUGAAGAAGGCCUUCGGGUUGUAAAGCACUUUCAGUGGGGAAGAAAGCCUUGGGGCUAAUACCCUCGAGGAAGGACAUCACCCACAGAAGAAGCACCGGUUAACUCCGUGCCAGCAGCCGCGGUAAUACGGAGGGUGCGAGCGUUAAUCGGAAUUACUGGGCGUAAAGCGCGCGUAGGCGGUCUGAUAAGCCGGUUGUGAAAGCCCCGGGCUCAACCUGGGAACGGCAUCCGGAACUGUCAGGCUAGAGUGCAGGAGAGGAAGGUAGAAUUCCCGGUGUAGCGGUGAAAUGCGUAGAGAUCGGGAGGAAUACCAGUGGCGAAGGCGGCCUUCUGGACUGACACUGACGCUGAGGUGCGAAAGCGUGGGUAGCAAACAGGAUUAGAUACCCGAGUAGUC